AUUGAGUUUGAUCAUGGCUCAGAGUGAACGCUGGCGGUAGGCCUAACACAUGCAAGUCGAACGGCAGCACAGAGGAGCUUGCUCCUUGGGUGGCGAGUGGCGGACGGGUGAGGAAUACAUCGGAAUCUACUCUGUCGUGGGGGAUAACGUAGGGAAACUUACGCUAAUACCGCAUACGACCUACGGGUGAAAGCAGUGGAUCUUCGGACCUUGCGCGAUUGAAUGAGCCGAUGUCGGAUUAGCUAGUUGGCGGGGUAAAGGCCCACCAAGGCGACGAUCCGUAGCUGGUCUGAGAGGAUGAUCAGCCACACUGGAACUGAGACACGGUCCAGACUCCUACGGGAGGCAGCAGUGGGGAAUAUUGGACAAUGGGCGCAAGCCUGAUCCAGCCAUACCGCGUGGGUGAAGAAGGC
RNAcentral lists this ribosomal RNA (413 nucleotides) under Stenotrophomonas hibiscicola. Its description in RNAcentral is "bacterial SSU rRNA". It matches the Rfam family "Bacterial small subunit ribosomal RNA", at positions 1 to 415 of the family's 1533-position model. Lineage: Bacteria; Pseudomonadati; Pseudomonadota; Gammaproteobacteria; Lysobacterales; Lysobacteraceae. The record is from RNAcentral.